GGGUUGUGAGGUUAAGCGAAUAAGCGUACACGGUGGAUGCCUAGGCAAUCAGAGGCGAUGAAGGACGUGCUAAUCUGCGAAAAGCGUCGGUAAGGUGAUAUGAACCGCUAUACCCGACGAUAUCCGAAUGGGGAAACCCAGUAUCCAAUGGAUACUAUCAUUAACUGAAUCCAUAGGUUAAUGAGGCGAACCGGGAGAACUGAAACAUCUCAGUACCCCGAGGAAAAGAAAUCAACCGAGAUUCCCCUAGUAGCGGCGAGCGAACGGGGAGCAGCCCAGAGUCUUAAUCAAUAGCAGUGUCAGGAGAACGGUCUGGAAAGUCCGGCAGUAAAGGGUGAUAGCCCCGUAUCUGAAGAUGCUGUUAUUGUGAACUCGACGAGUAGGGCGGGACACGUGUUAUCCUGUCUGAAUAUGGGGGGACCAUCCUCCAAGGCUAAAUACUCCUGAUUGACCGAUAGUGAACCAGUACCGUGAGGGAAAGGCGAAAAGAACCCCGGCGAGGGGAGUGAAAAAGAACCUGAAACCGUGUACGUACAAGCAGUAGGAGCCUCUUUAUGGGGUGACUGCGUACCUUUUGUAUAAUGGGUCAGCGACUUAUAUUCUGUAGCAAGGUUAACCGUAUAGGGGAGCCGUAGGGAAACCGAGUCUUAACUGGGCGAAUGAGUUGCAGGGUAUAGACCCGAAACCCGGUGAUCUAUCCAUGGGCAGGUUGAAGGUUGGGUAACACUAACUGGAGGACCGAACCGACUAAUGUUGAAAAAUUAGCGGAUGACUUGUGGAUGGGGUGAAAGGCCAAUCAAACCGGGAGAUAGCUGGUUCUCCCCGAAAGCUAUUUAGGUAGCGCCUCGUGAACUCAUCUUCGGGGGUAGAGCACUGUUUCGACUAGGGGGUCAUCCCGACUUACCAACUCGAUGCAAACUGCGAAUACCGAAGAAUGUUAUCACGGGAGACACACGGCGGGUGCUAACGUCCGUCGUGAAGAGGGAAACAACCCAGACCGCCAGCUAAGGUCCCAAAGUCAUGGUUAAGUGGGAAACGAAGUGGGAAGGCUCAGACAGCCAGGAUGUUGGCUUAGAAGCAGCCAUCAUUUAAAGAAAGCGUAAUAGCUCACUGGUCGAGUCGGCCCGCGCGGAAGAUGUAACGGGGCUAAACCAUGCACCGAAGCUGCGGCAGCGACACAAAGUGUUGUUGGGUAGGGGAGCGUUCUGUAAGCCUGCGAAGGUGUACUGUGAGGUAUGCUGGAGGUAUCAGAAGUGCGAAUGCUGACAUAAGUAACGAUAAUGCGGGUGAAAACCCGCACGCCGGAAGACCAAGGGUUCCUGUCCAACGUUAAUCGGGGCAGGGUGAGUCGACCCCUAAGGCGAGGCUGAAAAGCGUAGUCGAUGGGAAACGGGUUAAUAUUCCCGUACUGGUGGUAACUGCGAUGGGGGAACGGAGAAGGCUAGGUUGUCCGGGCGACGGUCGUCCCGGUUCAAGCAGGUAGGCAGAGUGAUUAGGCAAAUCCGGUCACUUAAUGCUGAGAUGUGAUGACGAACCACCAAGGUGGUGAAGCAAUUGAUGCCCCGCUUCCAGGAAAAGCCUCUAAGCUUCAGGUUACCAACAAUCGUACCCCAAACCGACACAGGUGGUCAGGUAGAGAAUACUCAGGCGCUUGAGAGAACUCGGGUGAAGGAACUAGGCAAAAUGGUGCCGUAACUUCGGGAGAAGGCACGCUGGCGGUAGGUAAAGUCCCUCGCGGACGGCGCCCAAGCCAGUCGAAGAUACCAGCUGGCUGCAACUGUUUAUUAAAACACAGCACUGUGCAAACACGAAAGUGGACGUAUACGGUGUGACGCCUGCCCGGUGCUGGAAGGUUAAUUGAUGGGGUUAGCGUAAGCGAAGCUCCUGAUCGAAGCCCCAGUAAACGGCGGCCGUAACUAUAACGGUCCUAAGGUAGCGAAAUUCCUUGUCGGGUAAGUUCCGACCUGCACGAAUGGCGUAAUGAUGGCCAGGCUGUCUCCACCCGAGACUCAGUGAAAUUGAACUCGCUGUGAAGAUGCAGUGUACCCGCGGCAAGACGGAAAGACCCCGUGAACCUUUACUAUAGCUUGACACUGAACAUUGAGCCUUGAUGUGUAGGAUAGGUGGGAGGCUUUGAAGUGUGGACGCCAGUCUGCAUGGAGCCAACCUUGAAAUACCACCCUUUAACGUUUGAUGUUCUAACCUAGGCCCAUAAACUGGGUCGGGGACCGUGUCUGGUGGGUAGUUUGACUGGGGCGGUCUCCUCCUAAAGAGUAACGGAGGAGCACGAAGGUUGGCUAAGCAUGGUCGGACAUCAUGCGGUUAGUGCAAAGGCAUAAGCCAGCUUGACUGCGAGAGUGACGGCUCGAGCAGGUACGAAAGUAGGUCUUAGUGAUCCGGUGGUUCUGAAUGGAAGGGCCAUCGCUCAACGGAUAAAAGGUACUCCGGGGAUAACAGGCUGAUACCGCCCAAGAGUUCAUAUCGACGGCGGUGUUUGGCACCUCGAUGUCGGCUCAUCACAUCCUGGGGCUGAAGUAGGUCCCAAGGGUAUGGCUGUUCGCCAUUUAAAGUGGUACGCGAGCUGGGUUUAGAACGUCGUGAGACAGUUCGGUCCCCUAUCUGCCGUGGGCGUUGGAAGAUUGAGAGGGGUUGCUCCUAGUACGAGAGGACCGGAGUGAACGCACCACUGGUGUUCGGGUUGUCAUGCCAAUGGCAUUGCCCGGUAGCUAAGUGCGGAAGAGAUAACCGCUGAAAGCAUCUAAGCGGGAAACUUGCCUCGAGAUGAGUCUUCCCUGUCGCUUUAAGCGACCUAAAGGAACGUUUAAGACUAAGACGUUGAUAGGCUGGGUGUGUAAGCGUAGCGAUACGUUGAGCUAACCAGUACUAAUGAACCGUGAGGCUUAACCUGACAACACCGAAAGUGUUUUG
This 2928-nucleotide ribosomal RNA is filed under the name Proteus mirabilis. RNAcentral's name for it is "23S ribosomal RNA". It matches the Rfam family "Bacterial large subunit ribosomal RNA". Lineage: Bacteria; Pseudomonadati; Pseudomonadota; Gammaproteobacteria; Enterobacterales; Morganellaceae. The record is from RNAcentral.